This 332-nucleotide ribosomal RNA is filed under the name uncultured bacterium. RNAcentral describes it as "bacterial SSU rRNA". It matches the Rfam family "Bacterial small subunit ribosomal RNA", at positions 976 to 1307 of the family's 1533-position model. The record is from RNAcentral.
UAGCCUUGACAUUGAUUGAACACACUAGAGAUAGAGUGGUGCCCUUCGGGGAACAUGAAAACAGGUGCUGCACGGCUGUCGUCAGCUCGUGUCGUGAGAUGUUGGGUUAAGUCCCGCAACGAGCGCAACCCUCGUCCUUAGUUGCUAGCAGUUCGGCUGAGCACUCUAAGGAGACUGCCUUCGUAAGGAGGAGGAAGGUGAGGACGACGUCAAGUCAUCAUGGCCCUUAUGGCUAGGGCUACACACGUGCUACAAUGGGGCGUACAGAGUGUUGCGAUACCGCGAGGUGGAGCUAAUCACUUAAAGCGUCUCUCAGUUCGGAUUGGAGUCUG